GACGAACGCUGGCGGCGUGCUUAACACAUGCAAGUCGAACGGACAGGCCCUACUUUUGUUUGGUGCUCGAGUGGCUAACGGGUGAGUAACACGUGAGUAACCUUCCCUUACCUGUGGGAUAACUUCAGGAAACUGGGGCUAAUACCGGAUAGGAGCUCCUGCUGUUUAUUGUUGGUUGGAAAGUUACGGCGGUUGGGGAUGGAAUCGCGGCUUAUCAGCUUGUUGUUGUGGUAGUGGCUUGGCAAGGUAUUGACGGGUCGCCGGACUGAGAGGGUGACCGGCCACAGUGGGACUGAGAUACGGCCCAGACUCCUACGGGAGGCAGCGGUGGGGAAUAUUGCACAAUGGGCGGAAGCCUGAUGCAGCAACGCCGCGUGCGGGAUGACGGCCUUCGGGUUGUAAACCGCUUUCGCCUGUGACGAAGCGUGAGUGACGGUAAUGGGUAAAGAAGCAACGGCUAACUACGUG
This 468-nucleotide ribosomal RNA is filed under the name uncultured bacterium. Its description in RNAcentral is "partial 16S ribosomal RNA". It matches the Rfam family "Bacterial small subunit ribosomal RNA", at positions 28 to 507 of the family's 1533-position model. The record is from RNAcentral.